This 501-nucleotide ribosomal RNA is filed under the name uncultured bacterium. RNAcentral's name for it is "partial 16S ribosomal RNA". It matches the Rfam family "Bacterial small subunit ribosomal RNA", at positions 28 to 523 of the family's 1533-position model. The record is from RNAcentral.
GAUGAACGCUGGCGGCGUGCUUAACACAUGCAAGUCGAACGAAGCACCUUGAUUUGAUUCUUCGGAUGAAGAUCUUGGUGACUGAGUGGCGGACGGGUGAGUAACGCGUGGGUAACCUGCCUCAUACAGGGGGAUAACAGUUAGAAAUGACUGCUAAUACCGCAUAAGACCACAGUACCGCAUGGUACAGGGGUAAAAACUCCGGUGGUAUGAGAUGGACCCGCGUCUGAUUAGGUAGUUGGUGGGGUAACGGCCUACCAAGCCGACGAUCAGUAGCCGACCUGAGAGGGUGGCCAGCCACACUGGGACUGAGACACGGCCCAGACUCCUACGGGAGGCAGCAGUGGGGGAUCUUGCGCUAAUGCGCGAAAGCGUGACGCAGCGACGCCGCGUGGGGGAUGAAGGCCCUCGGGUUGUAAACCCCUUUCGGCAGGGACGAAGCGAAAGUGACGGUACCUGCAGAAGAAGUCCCGGCUAACUACGUGCCAGCCGCCGCAGUAA